Long non-coding RNA from Magnolia sinica, 418 nucleotides. RefSeq lists it as uncharacterized. NCBI's taxonomy places the organism in Eukaryota, Viridiplantae, Streptophyta, Magnoliopsida, Magnoliales, Magnoliaceae. The transcript is spliced from 2 exons. The record is from RefSeq and is a predicted model, not a curated record.
UCUGGGACACUUUCACCAAAGGGUAGACCUGAUGAAUGGAAAGGGUCUCAUAAACAAAUGCCACACCAACACAUGUAGCUUGAAUUUUGUUGAAGAAACAACCAAGCUAUAAACUAGGCAUGCAGCUUAGGGUAGGGGAAAGGAGGAGAUGAUCAGGAGGGACCCCUGAACUAGUGUGGAUCUACAUGACAGUUCAUAGAUGUCAGUGGGUUGCAUCACUCUUCCAUUGAGCUUUCCUCUCCUCCCAUUCAUAACAAUAAAGGCAACAUGAACAAUGCGAAAGCUUUAGUUUGCUCCCAAAAUUCCUUUUCCUUUCUCAAGUUAGAUAUUUUCAUAGAUUUAUCAACACUGUUUUGUGAUAUUGCUUUUGAUGGAACCAUAACUUCUAUCUAAAAUAAGGUUAAACGUCUUAUUAUUU